AUCAGGUGUCGCAAGACUUAAUAGGGAAGCCGGUCAGAGUCCGGCGCGGUCCCGCCACUGUAGCAGCGAGCGAUUCGGCAAAUGUCACUGUGCGAAAGCAUGGGAAGACGCCGAAGCGCGAUGAACUGGAGCCAGGAGAACUACCUGAUUAAC
This 153-nucleotide non-coding RNA is filed under the name bovine gut metagenome. The record is from RNAcentral.